This 406-nucleotide ribosomal RNA is filed under the name uncultured bacterium. RNAcentral's name for it is "partial 16S ribosomal RNA". It matches the Rfam family "Bacterial small subunit ribosomal RNA", at positions 30 to 526 of the family's 1533-position model. The record is from RNAcentral.
AUUGAACGCUGGCGGCAGGCCUAACACAUGCAAGUCGAACGAGUGGCGGACGGGUGAGUAAUGUCUGGGAAACUGCAUGAUGGAGGGGGAUAACUACUGGAAACGGUAGCUAAUACCGCAUACCAUCAGAUGUGCCCAGCUGGGAUUGGCUUAUUGGUGGUGUAACGGCUCACCAAGGCGACGACCCCUAGCUGGUCUGAGAGGAGGACCAGCGACACUUGAACGUUGCCACGGUCCAGACUCCUAUGUGAGUCAGCAGUGGGGAAUAUUGCACAAUGGGCGCAAGCCUGAUGCAGCCAUGCCGCGUGUAUGGAGAAGGCCUUCGGGUUGUAAAGUACUUUCAGCGGGGAGGCGUUACCCGAAGAAGAAGCACCGGCUAACUCCGUGCCAGCAGCCGCGGUAAUAC